GAUGAACGCUGGCGGCGUGCCUAAUACAUGCAAGUCGAGCGAACAGACGAGGAGCUUGCUCCUCUGACGUUAGCGGCGGACGGGUGAGUAACACGUGGAUAACCUACCUAUAAGACUGGGAUAACUUCGGGAAACCGGAGCUAAUACCGGAUAAUAUAUUGAACCGCAUGGUUCAUUAGUGAAAGACGGUUUUGCUUUCCCUUAUAGAUGGAUCCGCGCCGCAUUAGCUAGUUGGUAAGGUAACGGCUUACCAAGGCAACGAUGCGUAGCCGACCUGAGAGGGUGAUCGGCCACACUGGAACUGAGACACGGUCCAGACUCCUACGGGAGGCAGCAGUAGGGAAUCUUCCGCAAUGGGCGAAAGCCUGACGGAGCAACGCCGCGUGAGUGAUGAAGGUCUUCGGAUCGUAAAACUCUGUUAUUAGGGAAGAACAAAUGUGUAAGUAACUAUGCACGUCUUGACGGUACCUAAUCAGAAAGCCACGGCUAACUACGUG
This 497-nucleotide ribosomal RNA is filed under the name uncultured bacterium. RNAcentral's name for it is "partial 16S ribosomal RNA". It matches the Rfam family "Bacterial small subunit ribosomal RNA", at positions 28 to 507 of the family's 1533-position model. The record is from RNAcentral.